AGAUACGUUAAAUAGGGUGAUGUGUUAAACUCGGAGCCCUGAAACUUUGAACGCAAAUGGCGGCAGUGAGUUAUCUCUCUGCCUUGUCUGUGUGAGGGUUGAAUAGUGAAGAAGUAACAUUAGAGGGUUUCAAUGACUUGACUCCCUAGUUCACUUUGAGAAUAACCAGUGGUUGUGUGAACCUUCUCGCAGAGAUGGUGGCAGCUAAGUUAUGCUCUCGCACAAGUAGCGUGAUGAUCGUCAUGUUCUGCUGUGCAAGUUCAACAUCAACCUCACAUCAGGCAAGUCUACCCGCUGAACUUAAGCAUAUCAGUAAGCGGAGGACAAGAAAACAAAAGUGAAUCCCUCAGUAACUGCGAGUGAACAGGGAAGAGCCCAGCGUGAAGGCUACUUAGUUGUGAACUUAGUAGCGGUGCCACGUUUGUUUGCGGGGAAAAGUGUUAGUGUGGUGCAGCAAUAGUGUAACUUCCUUGAGAGAGGAGGCCAUAGAAGGUUACAGCCCUGUAACACUAGCUGUCCAUCUAGCACGUAACUCGUAGGCUAGAGUCGGGUUACUUGAGAGUGUAACCUAAAGCCGCAGGUAUACUCCUGCUAAGGCUAAUUACAACCGUCAGACCGAUAGUAAACAAGUACCGUGAGGGAAAGUUGAAAAGAACUUUGAAGAGAGAGUUAAAAGUACGUGAAACGGCUACCAGGUAAGCUAAUGGGGGCGGGAAAUAGGUCAGUGAGUGUCAUGUGCACAGAUGUAAGUGUCUUGCUAGUGAUGCCUAGAAAUAGGGUCGCUGCUUGAUGCGAAAAGUUGAGUCACAGCACUACGCUAUUUGGCCGAGAUGUUGUGACGUCUCUGAGUGGUGUUGGAGCGACGGAGUUGGGUUAGGAAGUGUUGGUGGUAGCAGAUUUAUCUGUUGCCGUUGCCUUCACUCAUGGAUGGAGUACUGUUAGCGCAAGCUGAUGGAUCAAGUCUCCUUCGCUCCUCUCCCUGCUGUCGUCUCUAUUUGAACACUGACUUAGCUGAGAGAUGUGUGAGAAAGACUGCAAGUCAGUCUCGCUAUUAGCAGUUAGCCUUAAGGCCUUGGCUCUGCGGAGUCAUGAGUCGAGUGCUAACUGUUCCUUGUGAUAGGUUGUAAUCUGUUGAGUGCGCGAGCAUGAGACGGUGCCCUAUUGCUGGAGUCAGAUAGUGCGUGGUUACACUGCGUGUUAUCACAACAGUACCAUUCCCUAUUAGACCCGUCUUGAAACACGGACCAAGGAGUUCAACUCCUGUGCGAGUCUUAUAGUGUGAAGCUAUGAAGGCGAAGCGAAAGCAAUGGUGGUGACUACUGACGGGAGGCGAUAGUCACGGGCUUGUCCUGGGACGGAAGCUAAGUCAGAGGAAGGAUAGCGCUGGCUGUCUGGACUGAAGUAACCACAGGGUCUAUUGAGUUAGACACCUCUAGCACAAGAGCUGAUACCCGAAAGAUGGUGAUCUAUGCCUGAGCAGGACGAAGUCUAGGGAAACCCAGAUGGAAGUCUGUAGCGAUUCUGACGUGCAAAUCGAUCGUCAGACUUGGGUAUAGGGGCGAAAGACUAAUCGAACC
RNAcentral lists this ribosomal RNA (1577 nucleotides) under uncultured fungus. Its description in RNAcentral is "eukaryotic LSU rRNA". The stretch from base 268 to 1577 matches the Rfam family "Eukaryotic large subunit ribosomal RNA", at positions 1 to 941 of the family's 3401-position model. The record is from RNAcentral. Lineage: Eukaryota; Fungi.